AAUCCAUUUAUUCUUCUCUCUCUUAAAUGCAAUUCUCUCUCUAGUUCAUUAUUUUUCCCUUAUAAUUAAAUCAUAGAAGUUUUGUCAGAUGGAUAAAUCAGUUGGAUUACGAGGGUAUUGCUGCUUCAAUUGCCGGAAUAUUGUAGCAGAUCAUGAUGAUAUCAUUAACAAGGAAUUUUUUGGCAUACAUGAAAAGGGUAGAGGACGAGCAUUUCUAUUUUCUCAUGCCAUCAAUGUUGUUGAGGAGCCUCCAUAUUACAUGGUAAUGUUAACUGGUCCUCAUGUGGUGUCUGAUAUUUUAUGUGCUGAAUGUGGCAAGAAUUUGGGAUGGAAAUACCAGAGAAGUUUUCGUGAAGUGAACAAGUACAAGGAAGGCAAAAUUGUCUUGGUCAAGUACAACAUCAUCAAGGUUUAGGUUAUUCAUCCUCAUUCCUCAUUUCAAUGAUAUGAAUCUAAAUUGGUUACUUUUAGAUAAUGUUUAGUCCAUUAUCAUGUUUAAAGUUUUGAACUUUGACAUUCAUUCAUUAUUAAGUUAUAUAUGCACUAGAUUUUGGGUCAA
Long non-coding RNA from Solanum pennellii, 559 nucleotides. RefSeq lists it as uncharacterized. The transcript has 2 exons. The record is from RefSeq and is a predicted model, not a curated record. NCBI's taxonomy places the organism in Eukaryota, Viridiplantae, Streptophyta, Magnoliopsida, Solanales, Solanaceae.